Molecule: long non-coding RNA, 1200 nt
Filed under: Salvator merianae (Argentine black and white tegu)
Lineage: Eukaryota; Metazoa; Chordata; Lepidosauria; Squamata; Teiidae
Description: lncRNA (ENSSMRG00000018765.1)
Source: RNAcentral
UUUAACUCCUGCUGGCUAAGCGACGGAGGUGCCGCUGGAACUCCAGUCCUCUCCGUUUCCAAAGGCGGAUGCAGCUCCUCCUUCCCCAUCGCCAAUCCGUGCUCUGUCCGAAGCCUAAGCCAGGUUACCCCCCCUCCCUCCUCCCGCUCCUGUGCGGUGCGACGGGGGCGCGACGGCGCUGGCACCUGCUCGGAGCUUGAGGGCGGCCCGCAGCGCGCGGCAGGCGGCGACCCUGGCCUCGGCGGCUCCGCGGGGGCCGCCCGGGCAGUAGGUGGCGGCUUGCAGCGUCUCCGGCCGGCCCGGCAGCGGCUGGUCUCGGCGGCGGCGCUCGCCGAAGACGCGCUGCAGCAGCGCCUCCAGGUGCGCGCGCGCCGCCCCCUCCGAGUCCGACCCCGCGGCCCCGGCGGGCAGCACGACCACGCCGACCACGGCGGGGGGCGCCCCGGGGCGGGCGCGCAGGCGGGCGCGCACGUCGCUCAGGAUCUCGCGCAGGCGGCGUCGCUCCCGGGCCCAGCGCGGGGGCAGCAGCGAGGCGGCGCCGAAGAGCACGAAGAGCAGCGGGCAGCCCCGCCACGGCCAGCCCGGGCCGCAGUCCCGGCGGGGGACGCGCACUCGUCCCCGCCGUGCUGGGGGCGCCGCCGCCGCCGCCGCCUCCUUGGCCGGCUCGGGCUGCCGCUCGGCGAAGAGCUCCCGGGCGAAGGUCUCCAGCAGCAGCCGCGGCGGCGUCCGCUCCGACGGCGAGGCCGCCCCGCCGGCGCCCUCCGCCACCUCGGCCACCAGGAGCAGGCGCUGCCGCCCGCCGGCGCGGUCCACCAGCGCCCGGAACUCCCGCAGCGGUUCCAUGGCGUCGAACCCGCCGCCGCCCCGCCGCGCUCGCUCUCUCGGGCCGCCACCGCCGCCUCUUGUAGCACCGCGGAGGCGCCGCCCUCGCCUCGCCCAGGGGGCAGGCAGGCAGGGCAGACCCCGGACCGGAGAGCCCCCCUGUGGGGCGAGGGAGCCGGGCAGGACGGAGGCUCCCUCCCCGGACGGACGGACGGACGGGCCGGGCAGACAGGCAGGUGGAUCGGCUCCGCCUGGGGUUUGUUCUUUGCCCAAGACAGAACGGUGGCAGGCGAGUCAUUGGCGCAGAGCGGAGACGGUGGCGGGGGGCCAAAACCAUGGAGACCUUGUGGGUCUGAGGACGGCCGGUGCUCCACGUAA